UGAGGAACCCGCACAAACAGUUGUCUUCACCAUAUGAGGAGAGAAUUUCUGCAUUUCAUUUUCUAUUGCCUGUCGCAAAAUGCCACUACACGGUCAUCAAGAUGCACCAUCGAUUUUGGAUGCAUGUAACUUGCUCAAGAUAUACUGAUCUUCAAUAAAAUAUGUGCUUUGUGCUUUCCCUUUCCA
This is a long non-coding RNA of Panicum virgatum (switchgrass), 186 nucleotides long. RefSeq lists it as uncharacterized. NCBI's taxonomy places the organism in Eukaryota, Viridiplantae, Streptophyta, Magnoliopsida, Poales, Poaceae. The record is from RefSeq and is a predicted model, not a curated record. The transcript has 2 exons.